Molecule: ribosomal RNA, 256 nt
Filed under: uncultured bacterium
Lineage: Bacteria
Description: partial small subunit ribosomal RNA
Rfam family: Bacterial small subunit ribosomal RNA
Source: RNAcentral
AGGACGAACGCUGGCGGCGUGCUUAACACAUGCAAGUCGAGCGGAAAGGCCCUUCGGGGUACUCGAGCGGCGAACGGGUGAGUAACACGUGAGCAACCUGCCCUUAGCUCCGGGAUAGCUCCGGGAAACCGGAAUUAAAUACCGGAUAUGACCUAGGCCGACAUCGGCUGUGGUGGAAAGUUUUUUCGGCUGGGGAUGGACUCGCGGCCUAUCAGCUUGUUGGUGGGGUAAUGGCCUACCAAGGCGACGACGGGUA